Molecule: ribosomal RNA, 451 nt
Filed under: uncultured bacterium
Lineage: Bacteria
Description: partial 16S ribosomal RNA
Rfam family: Bacterial small subunit ribosomal RNA
Source: RNAcentral
AGCGAACGCUGGCGGCAGGCUUAACACAUGCAAGUCGAGCGGGCGUAGCAAUACGUCAGCGGCAGACGGGUGAGUAACGCGUGGGAACGUGCCCUUUGGCUCGGAACAACACAGGGAAACUCGUGCUAAUACCGAAUAAGCCCUUACGGGGAAAGAUUUCUCGCAGAAGGAUCGGCCCGCGUCUGAUUAGCUUGUUGGUGAGGUAACGGCUCACCAAGGCUACGAUCAGUAGCUGGUCGGAGAGGAUGAUCAGCCACACUGGGACAGAGACACGGCCCAGACUCCUACGGGAGGCAGCAGUGGGGAAUAUUGGACAAUGGGGGCAACCCUGAUCCAGCCAUGCCGCGUGAGUGAUGAAGGCCCUAGGGUUGUAAAGCUCUUUCGGCGGGGAAGAUAAUGACGGUACCCGCAUAAGAAGCCCCGGCUAACUUCGUGCCAGCAGCCGCAGUAA